UUGAGCCGUGUGCUGGGAAACUCGCAUGCACGGUUCUUAGGGGGCGGCGGCGCAGCAAUGCGCCGCUGCUACCUGAC
This 77-nucleotide non-coding RNA is filed under the name Paraburkholderia silvatlantica. The record is from RNAcentral. Lineage: Bacteria; Pseudomonadati; Pseudomonadota; Betaproteobacteria; Burkholderiales; Burkholderiaceae.